Non-coding RNA from Schizosaccharomyces pombe (fission yeast), 316 nucleotides. The record is from the annotation of a GenBank genome assembly. Lineage: Eukaryota; Fungi; Ascomycota; Schizosaccharomycetes; Schizosaccharomycetales; Schizosaccharomycetaceae.
UCAUACUUCAAAAAUCCCGUUAUUAUAAUCUUAAUUUUCUUUUCAAGAAUAUUGGGUAGUUUGAUCUGGUGUCCGAAUGGAUGAAAAGUGAUAGCAAAAUUUCAUAAAACAAAAUCCAAGAAAUCAGUAUUUAUUAGAAUGCUACUUAAACUUUUUUCACUUUCUUAAAAUCAUGUUGUGAACAAAACGAUUUACAUUCCUACACUGCAAAUACGAAGAAUAAAAUGCAUAGAUUGAUUUGAACAACAGAAUGUUGACUGAAGUAGAUGUAUGUAGAUUAGCAGAACUUAUGUUAUAGCACUUUCAUUUUCUUGAU